CAGUCGCGCGGUAACACGAAGGGUGCAAGCGUUACUCGGAAUUACUGGGCGUAAAGCGUGCGUAGGUGGUGGUUUAAGUCCGUUGUGAAAGCCCUGGGCUCAACCUGGGAAUUGCAGUGGAUACUGGGUCACUAGAGUGUGGUAGAGGAUAGUGGAAUUUCCGAUGUAGCAGUGAAAUGCGUAGAGAUCGGAAGGAACAUCUGUGGCGAAGGCGACUAUCUGGGCCAACACUGACACUGAGGCACGAAAGCGUGGGGAGCAAACAGGAUUAGAUACCCCAGUAGUCCCUGUCUCUUAUACA
This 301-nucleotide ribosomal RNA is filed under the name uncultured bacterium. RNAcentral's name for it is "partial 16S ribosomal RNA". It matches the Rfam family "Bacterial small subunit ribosomal RNA", at positions 509 to 808 of the family's 1533-position model. The record is from RNAcentral.